GACGAACGCUGGCGGCGUGCUUAACACAUGCAAGUCGAACGGAAAGGCCCUGCUUUUGUGGGGUGCUCGAGUGGCGAACGGGUGAGUAACACGUGAGUAACCUGCCCUUGACUUUGGGAUAACUUCAGGAAACUGGGGCUAAUACCGUAUAGGAGCUCCUGCUGCAUGGUGGGGGUUGGAAAGUUUCGGCGGUUGGGGAUGGACUCGCGGCUUAUCAGCUUGUUGGUGGGGUAGUGUCUUACCAAGGCUUUGCCGGGUAGCCGGCCUGAGAGCGUGACCGGCGUCAUGGGGACUGAGAGACGGCCCAGACGCCUAUGGGAGACAGCAGGGGGGAAUAUUGUACAAUGAGCGGAAGCCUGAUGCAGAAACGCAGCGUGCGGAAUGACGGCCUGCGGGGUGUAAACAGCUGUAGCCUGUGACGAAGCGGGAGUGACGGUAAUGGGUAAAGAAGCACCGGCUAACUACGUG
RNAcentral lists this ribosomal RNA (468 nucleotides) under uncultured bacterium. RNAcentral describes it as "partial 16S ribosomal RNA". It matches the Rfam family "Bacterial small subunit ribosomal RNA", at positions 28 to 507 of the family's 1533-position model. The record is from RNAcentral.